Ictidomys tridecemlineatus (thirteen-lined ground squirrel) is the source of this 3207-nucleotide non-coding RNA. NCBI's taxonomy places the organism in Eukaryota, Metazoa, Chordata, Mammalia, Rodentia, Sciuridae. The record is from RefSeq and is a predicted model, not a curated record.
CUUUUGCAACUUUCCCAAGUCUGUGCGCAGAGAGAGAGAAGGAAAACUCAGAGGGAAGAAGCUGGCUAACAAAGUCUUUCAGGUUCCCAAAGCCGUUUAAUUCUCUGGCGCAGCUGAGACCUUUGAUCCAAGAAGAGACCUCCAGACUCAGAGAGAGCGCCCACCUGCCCCCGGAGGCCAAGUGCUACAGCCUCAGCUGUUCUGAAGCCACUUCAUGAAUCCUCGGAAGAAGGUGGACUUGAAGCUCAUCAUUGUCGGAGCACUUGGAGUGGGAAAGACCUCCCUCCUUCACCAAUAUGUCCACAAGACAUUUUAUGAGGAAUACCAGACCACGCUGGGGGCCAGCAUCCUCUCCAAGAUCAUCAUGCUGGAUGACACAACUUUGAAGCUGCAGAUCUGGGACACAGGCGGUCAGGAGCGGUUCCGCUCCAUGGUGUCCACCUUCUAUAAAGGCUCUGAUGGCUGUAUCCUGGCUUUUGAUGUCACCGACCUGGAGUCCUUUGAAGCCCUGGAUAUCUGGCGGGGUGAUGUUCUGGCCAAGAUUAUCCCUAUGGAGCAGUCCUACCCCAUGGUGGUGCUGGGGAACAAAAUUGACCUGGAAGACAGGAAGGUGCCCCAGGAGGUAGUCCAAGGCUGGUGUAAAGAGAAGGACAUUCCCUACUUUGAAGUCAGUGCCAAAAAUGACAUCAACGUGGUGCAAGCCUUUGAGGUGCUGGCCAGCCGGGCUCUGUCACGGGUGAGUGAGGGGCAUGGUGAUGGCACUGGCUAGGACUGCCCCUAAGCUCAGCAAUCCCAGGAGCUGCCAGGAGAAAAGAGUAUAUUGGUCCAGGUGGGGAUGUGCGCGUGACAGAGUGCUCAUCAUCUUGGUGAAUCAUCCACUACGUGGCCUCAACAGUUCAGAGACCACAAAUUUUAGAGGCAUAAAAUGCAACAGAAUAUGCCAUCAGCGGCCCCAGAGACUGGUUAUCAAGAUUCUUUGCAGUGAAUAUGAAAAUUCCAUUCCUGUGCCUUACCCCUGAAGAUUCUAAUUUUAGUAAGCGUUUGAGAAGUGUUUAUCCAGACCAAUCCUCAUGGGGGGGACAGAAGCUCCAUGGAGACAGGCAUUUAUCCAAGCAGAAUACCCAGCCCGGAGAGCUGCUGACAUCUUCCAAUCCAAAGAUGACCAGACCCAGACCCCGCCGUGCCAUGGCUGCACAAGCAUGCAUCGAGGGUGGGAUACCUGCUAGGCACCAUGCUAGGGUCAGGGGACCCUGGGUCUCAGCAGGGAGACAGAGGAGCAAUUGCAGUUCAGCCCUCGCUCAGUGGGAAGGGCACACCACAACCCCCGUUUGAGACAGGGAGCCAGAGAGAGGAGGGGAGAUCUUGAAAGGCUGCCUAGAAGCGGGAGCAGGGUUUUAAUGCUGCUUUGAUGUGGGGACUUAUCUUUUUUGGAUGAGCCUGACACCUUUAAUCAGUUGGACCUCUUAAAAGAAGGGAGAGGAUAAUCCCAGCAAUGAGAGGAAUGGAGGAAAUGAGCAAAUGCGGGUUGGGGAUUGGAGGCUUUCCCUGAGUGGAAGCAUGUGCCAUUAUCCUGUCGUUGUGGGUGACCCCACGGGCUUGCCUGACCCGGAGCUACCUACUGUCCAGGAGUGAAGCGCUCCGGCCGCUGGGGGCUGGGCACCGUGGAGAGGGGCCGCAGCGACCUCUAGCGGCUGCCAAGGGAGAAGGCGCGAGCUUGCCACCCUCAGCGCGGCGCGGAUCUGGGGGUUUGCCCCGCCCCCCCGCCACUCCCCCAGGGCUUGGCUGGUGCUCCCAUUCCCAACCUUGCUCUCUCUGGUUAGAGGGAAGCAGCGGGUGUCCACCUCGUUGUGCACUGUCAAAACGUGUGGCUUUAGUACACAGUCGGGACAGCUGGCUCCUACUAUGCAGGUGUGCCUGUCCCCACCAUUCCCAGGAACACUAACUCUUCCCUUCUACCAUGACCUGGGAUAAUACCCCACAAUCGCUCCAGUUAUUGCCAAACGCUAAGUCACAAGGAAGCUUCCAUCAGCACACGGCCAGGGUCCCUGUGUGGUUAGCAUCUGUCCUUUUAAAGGAGAGAAUGUCCUUUAUUCUUGAAAUUAUGUCUUUCCUAUUGAAUUAGGGUUCAAUUAUGCCCUUCCUUCUGUGCCACGGGUUAUGACGUGGUGCCAUCAGUAGAUGGGAGCCUGUCUGCUUGUUCCUUUUAACAUCCUUUCUUGGCAAAAGAAUAAGUCAGCAAUUGCCAUGUUAGUCCCCCACGAUUAUGCAGGAAAUUGACUGAGCAGACGUCUGGGAGUGACAAGCGUGGUGACUGCGUCAGACUGACCUAGAUUUGAGUCCUUCCUGAGGGCCUGUGGGUGGACCCCCCAGAGCAGGACAUAUGACUUGUCUGACCCUCAGUUUCUUCAUCUAUAAAAUAAAAUUAAUUUCAUUCCAUAACCAUUUCUUGGGCUGUCAGGCCAGGGCUGGAGAUGAAAACCUCAGUGCACUCGGGGUCAGGAGAGCAAGACAUUCACAAAGUGAAUGGAGUCCGCGCUGCAGGAGAUCGUGAUGAAGGACAGAGGUGACUCAAGCAGCUGGUGGCCAGGGUGAAGGAGGUUGCCUGACUGGGGAGGUGGCAAGUGAGCAGGGUUUUGACAGGCGUCUCGCAGUUUGCCAGCGGACAUGAUAAGCCACUGGGGGUGUGAGCAGGAGGAGAAGAGUGGCAGAGAGAGAGGGCAGGUCCCCAGCCCAGGCAUGAACAUGGGGCCGAGUGAGCCGCCAACUAUGAGUGGAGUUUGCAAGGGAGGGAAUUAUGUCAUCGAGGGAUGCAGGUGUAGGGACACAUGCUGAGUGAUGAAGGUUGACAGUACCAGAUCACAGAGGCCUCGUGAGCCCCACCAGGAGCACAGACUUCAUGCCAAAGAUCCAUGAUUUCUGGAUGGUGCUGCUAACUGUUCAGGGCCCUUAGGGGCCACCCAGUUCCUCGAAGCCCAACAGGGCACAUCUUUCUGCAGUGUCUGUGCUACUCAGAAAUUUGCAAGAGAAACAUUUUCAUAUUCAGACAGACACACCAGGGCAUAGAAAGUAAAUUUUGCAUGGGCAUUUAGGGUGAAAUACAUUGAGGUCAGAGGGUUUGUUUUUGUUUUUUUCAGGGGUGGAUACUGGGGAUUGAAUCCAGAGAUGCUUAACCACUGAGACCUAUCCCCAGUCCUUUUCAUUUUUUAU